AUAUAAUAUGAAGCGAUAACUCUUCGAAUUGUUCGCUUCUCGAAUUGUUAUACAUUGCAGCUUUGUAUAGCCAAAACAUAGCACUGUUAGUGUAGUCGUGCCUUGCGAAGCCUAUAUAAAGUAUUGUUAUUAUAAAAUUACUUUAGUCAAAGACUGACAUGUGUGGAGUCGAUUCAGAGCGAAGACUAAUUAUUAAGCUAAAAUGCCAUUUGGAUUCAUAAUUAUCACGGGACUACUGGCUUUUGGAGCGUACUGGACGACGAAAUACUUGAUGACCAUGCCUGAUGCAGCACAUUCUAUGCAACAGACAACGACGACCAUGACAAUACCGACAGCUCUACCGCUGUAGCGGUUACCAAAGCAACGGUAUCAACAAGACAUAAACGCCAUAAAUUAGCAUUUAAAUCAAUAGCUAUAGAGAAUUAUUUGCAAUGUCAUAGGAUACAAGUUUAAUUAUUAUAUUUUUUUAAUAAAUUUUUGUGAUGUA
Long non-coding RNA from Spodoptera frugiperda (fall armyworm), 487 nucleotides. RefSeq lists it as uncharacterized. The record is from RefSeq and is a predicted model, not a curated record. The transcript is spliced from 2 exons. Lineage: Eukaryota; Metazoa; Arthropoda; Insecta; Lepidoptera; Noctuidae.